Rattus norvegicus (Norway rat) is the source of this 10743-nucleotide non-coding RNA. Lineage: Eukaryota; Metazoa; Chordata; Mammalia; Rodentia; Muridae. The record is from RefSeq and is a predicted model, not a curated record.
AGUAGCCAUUUUGGAGCCACAGUGACUGCCAGCAGUAGGGGUUCCAGUAGGGGAGGUAAGAGAUUUUCACUGUCUUUGUAUGUGGCGCACAGGCUGCCCUAACAGUGUCGGCACCACGGGCGGGCGAGCUGGGCCAGAGGUUAGGGUCUUAGGUUCACACGCAGCCCGGUGCACAGAUGUCACUCUGGACAAAUCAUUUAUCUUUGUCUCAGUUCUUCAUCUGCAAGAUGGAUUUCUAGUGCCACUGAAUUAGGAUGAGCCGAGCUUGGAAAAUACAAACAUUUCUAAGAUAAAUAUGUUUUUCGAAUGCAGAGAAAUGGCGAUAAGCAGUAUUGGCAAGAGAAGCUCCGUAUGUCCAAAGCUAUCGUCCAGUUCUCCAUUGUUUCUGAUGCACAGUUAUUCCAGGGGCCCUGAAGGAAAUAGACUUUACUGUUGAAGAUCAAAGACCUUGAUGAUAGAAAUCAGCACUGGAGUUCGUCUGAAGGCAUGAAAGGGAAUAGCCAAUGGAGUCAGACAGAAAAUUCUUGACCUUACAUUUCUGAAGUAAAUGAAAAACUGAUAUAUAAAAGCGCUGUGGCUUCUUGUCUAUGAACCAUCCCUGGGUUAAACUAGGGGCGGAAGGAAGAGUGUGUCUUUUCCCAAUCUAGUUGCAGGGAGAUUUAGCUCUGUGGGGUUUCAUUUCAGUUUCUUCCCCACUUGUCUUUGUUGUAUGGGUUUCCCUCCACUGGAUUGGUGGGUGGAUAGGUGGGCGGGCCGAUUCCAUUGACUGCCUUGGAUGCUAUCUAGGGUCAGGGCCUAGGUUAGCAGGAAUGUGUAAGAACACAGGCAAACCUCAGGUAGGUCCUCAAGGGAAAGAAUGGCUAUUUAAUGAUGCAUUGAGAGUUACAUCUGGCUCCUCCAUCCCCCCUCCCACCUUUGAAGUAAAAGAAGGCAGAACAGAACAAAAACACAGUUCAGAAUUGUUUCUUUAACACCAGAGGAUGCCAGAAGGGCUUUGCCUUCAGUUUUGGGGCAGAGAAACGGAUUAUCCCUUUGCUUGCAAAAAGAGAAAAGCAGAACCAUCAUAUGGUUCUUUAUUUCCACAGCUGCAGUUACUCUGUUUUCUGUGAGGGCUUCUUUGCUUCCAACGCGUCCCGUUUUUUGGUAGCAGCUUGGAAGAUUUAUUCAGCAAAUAUUUAGUUUGUCCCAGCAUGGAAUUAGUCAGUACCCAUGAUAAAUGAUGAAAUUAUGACCAUCAGAAUCUGGCUGUGGGCGUGUAGGAACAUGAGGCAAUCCAGGUGCAGCCACACUUUCGAAUCAGAAUCCUUGAGGGACAGGAAAUUGAAUCCUGAUUAUUCAGCAACCAAAAGAUAAUGAGCCCAAAAGUAAGGGAGAUAGCACUAGCUGUCCUCUCUGUGUGCUAGAAUAUUGCGAAGUGGGUGUCCUUAAAAGAAACCAAACUUCAAGUUGUCCUCUGACAUCCACAUGCCCUGCACUAUGACUCCCGUAUGCCCCCACCCCACAAGUGCACACAAAAUAAACGGGCACAUAAUACAAAUUCAAAUUAACCUACAGACAGCACUCAUUUAGGAUAAAAGGAAUAUUUGAGAAAAUCAAAGCCAAAGAGAAAAUCAGGGAGAACUAAGCCAGCAGGGAAGGCAUGUAAAAGCUGUGACUCUCACGAUGUCUACCUGCCCAGUGCCAGAGCCCUGAGUUUCUUGGCGGACACCCUCAGUGGGAAGCUGGGAAUUACGAGUUCCAAGUGCCCAUGGACAAAAUGCAGAAUAGUCCUAAAGAAGCAUAGCAAUCUCGCUUCUUAGACUUGAGAAACAAUUCUUCCUCCCAUGGGUCCUCAUAAAAAGUCAAUGAAUCAUCUGGUAGAGUUCCUGGAGAAGAUCUUCAUGGGAGUGGGGUGAGCUUGGGGGCAGGGCUGCCUCGUUGUAUGCCCCUAGGGCCUCAUCCACACUCCACUAUUCAGUAACUGAAGUCACUUAACCUUUCUGAGACCAAUGCACUUCCACUGGGAAACAAGAGCCGGAGUAGCCCCUUGGGCUUCAUCCAGAAGCCCAAGUCUCUGUUUUGGCUUCCCAUCAUUUCAGUAGGUCUUUAAAAAGUUCCGUUUGAAGAAAAAAAGAAACCCAGCUUACAAAGGCAGAGUCCUUCUGAAAUAAGACUGUGUGGGUGUGUUUGGGAAGUGUGUACUCAAACUUCUUGUGAAUCUACAGUGCCAAAUAGUCCAGGCAGGAAACAGAAGCCAUACCAGCAUUUAAAAGGGAAGUAAGUAUUUGAGGAAUUAAUAACUGGUGUUAAGGAAGCAUUCAUAAUUGUAUAUAAAAGUACACUGAUAGUCAACAGUGAGCUAGACAGGGUGUGCACCCCAGUGCCCAGUGUAGAACCCACUUGCAGAGGGAGUGGCUGGGUCUUGGCCUGCAUGGUUCCUAAUGCCUCAGUCCAAGCCUAGUUGCAUUGUUGGUCCUGGAGAAGGAGGACACACAGACAGGAAUGAUAUACACAAAGUCUGCUAACGGGAUCCCAGCAACCCUCCUGAUGUUGUGUGCCUUCAGAAGUUCCUUGCAGCCGCCCUGUAGAACAAGAAAGGCAGAGACAUCCACUCCACGGAAGUCUCUUCCGCUGUUGACAUCUGUUACUGAGGAAACUGAAAAGGGCACCUACUGAAAACGGAGAAAUAUUUCAGGUUUCGGUUCCAGUCUUGCAAAGGGGCAUAGUGAAGAGUGAAUCUGAAUCUCAGGGGCAAUAAAUGGAUGACUGGAAGACUUACAGUCCCAAAUAGUUAAAUUCCAAGAUUUGGAAUGUACAUUUUCAAAACAACCUGUAUGCUGGCUAAGGAGCUAGCAUGAGAAAGUGGCUGCUGGGUGUUUCUAAGCAAUUGACCUUGACUUUGUCAAGUAAGCAAACUGCAUUUCUGUAUAGAAGAGAGAAUGGUAAUUUAGAUUAUUGAAACCUCACUCAAUUAGUCAAUUAUCAUGUGAAAGGGAGUCUAUAGUUUAGGUACAUGUUAAUUCAUCAAUGUGGUCAGUCAGUAAAUAUUCAAUGAAUAUUUACUUCCAGCUAGGUACCAGGAAUACAGAGAAAGAUAACAAUGAAAAUGGCUCCAUGCCUUCAUACUGAUAACCGCCUUGAGGAAGAUAUGUGAGUUCAGCGAAAGCCGAGAGUAGAGAGACUUGACUUUCUCAGGUCUGGGAAGAAUUUCUAGCUAGUGAAAGUUGUUGUUAAAGGAGUCCGCUCAUUGUCUAACCACACAGCGUGCUAGGCAACGACCAAACAAGACAAAUGAACGUUCCUUACAAAGAUUCUGGGGAGGGAGAGAACACAAACCUACUUCAACCUGACUGUCUUUGCUAAAGAUCGAUAUGGCUGAUGCAGGGAUUCCUCUGCCACCGAGGAAGACUGUUUCUCCAGGCAUUUCAUUUACCCCUCUGCUCACCUGGAAUUUCAGCUCAUCUGUUCAGACUAGCGAUUUACAUCAUCCAGCUUCCAAAGAGUCACGCAAGACAUUUACUUUAGAAGAAUUCAUUUAUUAUUUUUAGGGGCUGCAUGCUGCACUUGUGGAGGUCAGAGGGCAACUUGGCCACAUUAGUUCUUUUCUUCUGCCUUCAUGCGGUGCCAGAGCAGUGACUCAGGCCAUUACGCUUGUAUGGCCAGGGUUUCACUCACCGAGACAUUUUCCCUGUCCUAUGGCUUUAUAAUAGAUUCCUGCCCCUCUCUGUACAUGCACUUUCUGUGGCCUCUCCACCUCUUGAGAGCUCUAAGACACGUUUUGACAGGUCUGUAAACACAUCAAUUCCUCCAUGAGGACUUAUCUCAACCUUUGUUUGUUCUCCACUGGGAGGCACCCGCAAUGCCUCCAUACAUUUAGUUGUUAUCACCUCACACUGAUGUCUGAUGUUACUGGCAUCUAGAAGAUUAGAGGUGAGAGUAAGCCUCUUAAAAUGAGAAAAGGGGAGUAACGCAUCUACCUCCCAAAGGAAGAGUUGGGAAACGUUGCUUCAUGACUUUAUGCUGCUGUUGUGCCUCCCUACUUACUGAAGCUGUUGUCAUGGAUAGAAGAGCUUCAAUGACACCGAGAUCUCUUAUGCAUGGCUAGGCACAGAGAGCGUCUUAGUCAGGGUGACCAUUGCUGUGAGAAUACACUAUGACCAAAGCAACUUGGGUGUGUGGGGGGGAUUCAGCUCAUGCUUCCACAGCAGCGUUCAUCAACAAUGGAAGUCAGGACAGGAACUGAAGCAGAGCAGAAUCUGGAGCCAGGAGCUCAUGCAGAGACCAUGGAGGAGUGCUGCUUUACUGGCUUCCUCCUCAUGGCUUUCUCAGCCUGGCUUCUCAUUAGAAUCCAGGACCACCAGCCCAGGGGUGGCACUACCCAUGAUGAGCUGACCAACCUCCCACUAUAAAGCCCCAAUUAAGACAUAAGGAUUGCCCAUAGCCUGAUAUGAUGGCAGCAUUUUCCCAGUUGACUCUCCCUCUCCUCCAAUGACACAAGUUUGUGUCAAGUUGACAUAAAUUGAGCCAGCACAGAGGGUGAAGGUAGAAGUUAGGAGUUGAAGGUAAUGAGAAGAACAACCCAUUCUUCAAAAUCAUCUGGAAAAAGCCAGAUGUGCUGGUCAACACGACACGAAUUAGGGUCACCUGGGAAAUAGGGAUCACAAUUGCUGAGUUGCCUCCAUCAAACUGACAGGUUUUUUACCCUCUUUUUUCUUAACUGAUAACUGAUGUAGGGGUACCCAACCCACCAUGGGUGUUGCCAUACUGAAGCCAAAGGUCAUGAUCUGUAGAAGAAAAGUAGGUGACCAAAAUAGAGGAAGCAAGCCAGUAAGCAGCAUCCUUCAACGGUUUUCCGCCUUGAUCUCUAGAUCCAGGAUCCAGACUGGAGUUCCUGCCUUGGUUUGUCUCAGUGAUGGACUAUCUCCCAUAAAUCAAAUAAAAACCUUUCUUGCCCAAGUUGUUUUGGUCAUGGUGCUUAUCACAGUAACAGAAAGCCUGGCUGCGUAGGAUGUCACAAGGACUCCACUGAAAAGCUAGUGAAGCCUAAAUUCUGAGAGUUUUAAUAUGAAGCCACAGACCUCUGUCUGAACUGGCCCAAGGUGAAAGGAUUUUGAUUAUCACUAUUGAGGCAGGCAAGCAUAGGGAAUAGUUUAGUAACCUGGAACUCCACCUGGUUUGGGUUAUGCAUACAUUCCUCUUCAAAUAAUAUACUUUACAUAGUAGGCAAACCCUGCCACUAUGAACAAUGUGCCUAUUAACAUACAAACAGUAUAAGACUCUCCCACCUCCAUCAUGUACACCCCUCUCUAUGCAACAGAGUGAAUUUCACCUCCCCUUAAAACAAUCAAACUCAACAGAUUCUAUGUUCAUGCUAUCAUGUAUAGUUAGAAAAUAGAAGUGCUCAUUUGACCAGUACCGGUUUUAGACAGUAGGUCAAAAUUGUGCCUUCACAAUUGAACUUUUAGGGAGAAUUCCUUAUUUACAAUUUUUUUAAAACUAUCAGUAUAUGUGUAUAACUAACUAACUAACUAACUAACUAACUAACUAACUAAGUAACUAACUAACUGUGUGAAUGUAUGCGUGUGAGCACUGAUGAUUUCAGAAGCCAGAGAUAUGAGUGAGUGUCUCUAGAGUUGCAGUUAGAGGCUGUUGUGAGCUGCCUAACUUGGAUGCUGGGAAUCAAACUCAGGUUCUGUAAGUGCAACAAGUAUCACUGAGCCAUUUCUUGGGCCCCUUGUUUCACAUUUAUGCCCAUGAAUGACUGAACACAUACAUGAUUAAGACUCUGUACACUACAGUAAGGAAAAUGCUCAGUAGACACAGCUUAAUUUAUCAGUCAACACAGAACCUCUCCCACUGUGCUCCCAUAGCCAAACUCCUCUCCCCCCACCUGAAUUCUGUAGAGGAAGCCUCAAAAGAAAUUGAGUUAGCCUUACUUCUGUUCUUUUACAGUAUAUUAUGAUCUUUCCCUUUUCCUCUUUUAAUUAGUAUCCUUGCCACGUUUGAAAAAUCUUUGUGGAAAACUUGGAGAUACCGGGCCCUGACCCUGGCCACUGGUAACAGUGAUAAAUAUGAAAAAAGUUUAAAAAGUCCACAUAGACAGCAUUGUGCACGGUAGCUAAGGAAUUUUAAAGAAAUCUUAUUGCGAAUAUUUUCAGCAUAUUCAAUGUAGCAGACCUUUAACUCUAGGUUUUGAGACAGGGUCUCGUGCACUCCAGGCUGGCCAAAGAUGUCCUUGAAUAUCUGAUAUUCCUGCCUUCACCUCUCUGGCCUGCAGCUACAGACAGGUAUGCAUUCUAACCCCAGAUACCCAGUGCUUUGUGCACGCUAGGCAGCAACUCUGCAACUGAGGUAUUUCUUUAGCCCCGGGAACUGUAGAAUUUUAACAGUCAGACCUCCCUGUAUCUAAUCCUUUCUAACUAACUGUUGUGGGACGCUAUAAAUUGCAGACUCAGAAAUUAUAUAAAACAUACACAGCUUUUCCAAAAAUCAUUUUAAAAUUAAUAACGAAUUAGAAAAUGGAUCUACGCAUUGCAGGAUAGUUGAUUCCAUUGUGAAACCCAAGAUGUUCAAUUGGAAAAACCUUGUUGUGUCGUGUCUCAGCCCUAGCAUAUACCUUUAACCCAAGAGCUUUCUGUAAACCAGAGCCGGAUAAAGUCGAUGAUAGGUCACGAGGUGAAGCAAGCACCCAGCUGACAGGGGGUGAACCUCAGGAAGUAGAAGGAGGUCCUUUGAGUUGAAGGGUAGUUAAGACAAUAUGGAGAGGAGAAGUAGCCUUUUCCUUCUGAGGCAUUGGCAGAGUAGGAGGGUCCGUUGGGUGCUCUCUGCCACUCUGUGCAGGCAGGCUAUUACUAGUCUGUAGAUUUAACUGGGUAAAGUAUUGGCAGUUUUUAAAUUGUCCUUCCAUGUUCUGAUUGCACCAAACAUAGUGGUUGAUAUGGAAGAAAUUCCAUCCAAAUCCACGUGUGGCACACACCCAUAAUUCCAGGACUUGGAAGGUAGAAUCGGGAAGAUGUAGAGUUCGAGAUCAGCUUCAGAUACAUAGUAAGUUUGUGAUAAUCCUUAAUUACAGAGGAAUCCUCUUGGGGGAAAAGAUCUGAGAAAAAAAUAAUUAAGAAAAAGGUAAGAAGCUUUAUGUAUGUGAAAAUUUUCAUUGUCUUUUUUGUCAUUAAAUUAUUAGGUCAUUCACUUUACAUUCAGAUUGCAGCAGCCCACCUUCCUUUCUCUCCCAGCCCCACUCGCACACCCCUCCUCCUGCCCACUCCCCUUCUCCUCUGAGAAUGGAAAGGUCCCCCUGGGUACAAAUAGACCCUGCGACAUCAAUUCACAGUAAGGCUAGGCACCCAUCUAGGAGAAAUGGAUCCAAAGGGAAGCAACAGAGUCAAAUCCAGCCUCUGCUUCCAGUGUUAUGGAACCUACAUACAGACAUAUAUUGGUGACGUAAGUGUAGGGGGCUAGGUCUAUCCCAUGCAUACUCUUUGCUUAGUGGUUCAGUCUCUGUGAGUCUCUGGGGGCCUAGGUUAGUCAGCUCUGUAAGUCUUCUUGUGUCCUCGACACCUCCAGCUCCCUCAGUCCUUUUUUCUACUCUUCCCCAAGACUCCCUGACCUCUGCCUGUUGUUUAACUGAGGGUCUCUGCAUCUGUUUCCAUCAGCUACUGGAUGAAACCUCUCAGAAGACAGUUACACUAGGCUCCUGUUUGCAAGGACAGCAGAAUAGUGUCAGGAGUUGUUUUUCUCUCCUGGGAGGAGUCUCAAGUCGGGUCAGUCAUUGGUUGGCCAUUGCAUCAAUCUAUGCUCUAACUAGUAGGCAGGACAAAUUUUGGGUUAAAGGUUUUGUGGCUGGGCUGGUGUUCCCUCAAAUUAGAAGUCCCACAUGGCUACAGGAGGCGGUCACUUCCAUCUCCGGGUGCCCAGUUGCUGGGAGUAUCAGCUGGGUUCACCCCCAUAGACUCCCAGGAGCCUCCCUGUCCCAAGUCUCUGGAUCCUCCCAGAAAUGGCUCCCCCCCCAUCUGAUUUCCAAUCCCUCUCUCCACCUCCUCCAGCCCCACUUCCCCACACCUGAUCCACAUCCCUGUUCUCCUCACCCUCUCUUCUCCCCAGUUCCUUCCCUCCACACACCUCCAUUAUUCAUUUUAUUUCCCUUUCUGAGUGAGAUUCAAGCAUCAGAAUGACUCAGAGUCCACCUUAUACACAUCACAAUGGCUAAGGUAAAACUUCAAGUGAGAGCACAAGCUAGGAGGAUGGAGGGCAUGGGGAGCACUUCUUCACUGCUGGGGGAGUGCAAACUUGUACAACCAGUUUGGAAAACAUAAGCAUCUUCAUACUACCUGGGCAAUAAGUAACCGUGCAUAUAUUACUUAAGUAGACAAGCUUUAGAGUAUUACAAUUCGAACUCUAAGUAUGCUCACCCUGGUGAAAAGACUUUAGUCUCUGCUGUACUCCUGGUAUGUAUACGUGGAUGUACGAUGUAUGAAUGUAUGUAUUCAUGCAUGUAUGUUUGUAUGUGUGCAUGUAUUAUUGUGUGAGAAAGGGUCUUACUCAGUAGACUGGACUGAGGUAAACUCAUAGUCCUUGUGCCUCAGCACCCCCAGACUCUACUAAAUACUUUGGUUAAUCUGUCUCUCCUCUCCUUUCCUCUCCUUCCCUCUCCCCUCCUUUCCCCUCCCUCCUUUCCCCUUCUCUCCCCUCCCCUCCUCUGCCCUCCAUUCUCCCUCCCUUCCUCUUCUCUGCCCUUCCCCUCCCUUCUCUGUCCCUCUAGACUUAGACAUUUAAUAAUAUGUGUUUCUUUUUAAUCCUAUCCUCUGUCUAAAAAUAGUUUAUUGUAUUUUCUGUUAUGUUUAUGUGUGUGUGUCUUUGUGUCUUAUGUCUUUGUGUCUGUCUGUCUGUCUGUCUGUCUGUCUAUUUGAGGCCUUGCUUGUGCUGAGAGUCAGUUUUCAUUUUUUUUUUCUUUUCGGUGUGGGAUAUGAGGAUUGAAAGCAGAUGACAAAAGCCCAAAUUGUGUUUUAAAAGGACAAGCUUCUUUUUAACGAGAGGAGGCCAUGAGGCUGGUAUGGGGCUGUAGGGAAAUGGAACUGGGUGAGUGAAUGUGACCUAAAAACAUUGUAUAUGCAUAUGAAAUCACCACAAAGGAAAUCCACUUAAUGAAAGAAGGUGAACUCUUAAAAAUCAAAAUCGCCAGCAGUGUGUAUUCUGAAGACUCUUUAACAGUUGAUAAUAGAAAGACUAAAUGAGGCGUAAGACUUAGAAUUAAAACUGAUUUCAUUCAUGGGGACUCAGGGUUUCCAUCUGAGCUGGGGUCGGCAGGCUUCCUUGUCUGGAAGGGAGCUGGCCCCAGCACUCUGCUUUCCUUCAGUGUUUGCACAGAUUCACCUUUGACACACUCCUGAUAAGAUGGCUGCAUUUCCUUGGAGAUAAUCAGCCCAGCCCCUGGUUUGAUGCAGGGCUGAUGAGCUCACAGUUUAGACGUAGUGAUUGCCGCCGGGUUUUAAUGGUCAGAGUGUCAAGUGUUGGAAGUGCAAUUUAACAAAAACUUCCAACUUGCCCACCUCUUGCUACAACACAUUUUAAACCCAAGAAAGUAAAAUGUUUUGACAUGGGGACCUGUGACCAAGUGCUCACCCUGUAGUCCCAAGAAUCCAUGCAAUCUCCUGGAUGAAACUUAAAAGAUAAAAGGUUUAAAGGUUUUCCUGCUUGAUUUGUCUUUUCUGAUGUUUAAAAGUUUCCUUCUUCUGGGCUUGAGAAUCGGCAAACAAAAUACUUCAAACAUUUAUGUGACUUCUGCUGUGGUUCCUUUUGUUGUAGGUAGUAAAAAUCCAGGGAAACAGGAAGGGUCAUGAUUUGCCAAAGGUCAAAGAUCACAAUGAGUGACUGACUCAAGAGGCCACGAGGUCAAAGGUGCAACGGGAAUCCCAUAACCUCUGCUUCACAUUCUGCAUUAGAGGGGCCCGCAGUGCUUUCUGACUUCUGUGAAAGAACCCAUACACAUGUUCACAGUUUGCCUUGAAAAAUUACUUGAAAAUGAUUCUGCCCUAGACGAUUUUCCCUUUGAAACCAAGUGGCAGGAAGCAGGCUUUUAAAGAAAUUGAAGGUGUCCUAGCUGUUUGUUUGUAUUCGAUGCCAGCCUCCCAGAAGAGGAGGAACUAACAGAGAUUAAUAUGUGUUUUUAAAUGGAAAAAUAAGGUCUUCUCUUGGGAGAUCAAAACCCGAACUGAGGAAGCACAUUUACUCUUAUUUUUUAUUUCAGUCGACUGUGUGCUUCUGGACUGUGCCUAAAAUUCUGGUUCUGAGUUUUGGAAAACUACAAAUAACGAAGCCUCAGGCAUCACUGAUGGGUCCUGUUUGGGACACAUCUUCAUGCUAAAAUUUUACAGAAGUUGUCCUACUGCAUUAUUCCCCCUCCCUGCUUUCUGAUUUAAAGCAAUGGAGACCUCGUGAUGUAUUAGAAGCUGGAGAUAAACUUACAGCAUGUGGAGCUGAGGCAGAGUACAGAUCCUCGCUUUUCAACUCCAUUGGUGUCUAACCUCUCAUGAGCACUUAAUUCCUCCUGGAGAAGAAAACGGUCAUGGUAAAGAAUCCUGUGGCCCGUGAAGGGUAAUUGGAUAACAUCUUUUGAAAGAUUUACAAGGCUGCCAAAGUUUUUGCCAGCUUUAAACCUGAUUGAUUCAGUGUGAAAAGAUCGGAACAAUUCUGACCUAAAAGUUUAAAGACAAACCUUUCCUGUGAAAGCAUAAUUUAGGGCCCACAAUAAAAUUGUAUUGGAAACAG